GAAAGAUGAAAAGAACUUUGAAAAGAGAGUUAAACAGUACGUGAAAUUGUUGAAAGGGAAACGAUUGAAGUCAGUCGUACCAGCGGGAAAUCAACCUUUCGAGUGGGGUUUUGGAGUUUUGAAGUGUGUCAAAACCUUUGAGAUUUCAAAAUUUUCGUUCUUUUGGUGUACUUUCUCGUGGGUAGGUUAACAUCGAUUUUUGAUCAUCAUAAAAAGAUUGGAGGAAUGUAGCUUCGAUCUUGUAUUGAAGUGUUAUA
Molecule: ribosomal RNA, 257 nt
Filed under: uncultured Septoglomus
Lineage: Eukaryota; Fungi; Glomeromycota; Glomeromycetes; Glomerales; Glomeraceae
Description: partial large subunit ribosomal RNA
Rfam family: Eukaryotic large subunit ribosomal RNA
Source: RNAcentral